CGGCGGACGGGUUAGUAACGCGUGGGAAUAUACCCAGAUCUAAGGAAUAGCCACUGGAAACGGUGAGUAAUACCUUAUACGCCCUUCGGGGGAAAGAUUUAUCGGAUUUGGAUUAGCCCGCGUUAGAUUAGAUAGUUGGUGGGGUAAUGGCCUACCAAGUCUACGAUCUAUAGCUGGUUUUAGAGGAUGAUCAGCAACACUGGGACUGAGACACGGCCCAGACUCCUACGGGAGGCAGCAGUGGGGAAUCUUGGACAAUGGGCGCAAGCCUGAUCCAGCCAUGCCGCGUGAGUGAUGAAGGCCUUAGGGUCGUAAAGCUCUUUCGCCAGGGAUGAUAAUGACAGUACCUGGUAAAGAAACCCCGGCUAACUCCGUGCCAGCAGCCGCGGUAAUACGGAGGGGGUUAGCGUUGUUCGGAAUUACUGGGCGUAAAGCGCGCGUAGGCGGGUUGUUAAGUUAGAGGUGAAAUCCCGGGGCUCAACCCCGGAACUGCCUUUAAUACUGGCAACCUAGAGUUCGAGAGAGGUGAGUGGAAUUCCGAGUGUAGAGGUGAAAUUCGUAGAUAUUCGGAGGAACACCAGUGGCGAAGGCGGCUCACUGG
This 601-nucleotide ribosomal RNA is filed under the name Shimia marina. Its description in RNAcentral is "bacterial SSU rRNA". It matches the Rfam family "Bacterial small subunit ribosomal RNA", at positions 96 to 732 of the family's 1533-position model. Lineage: Bacteria; Pseudomonadati; Pseudomonadota; Alphaproteobacteria; Rhodobacterales; Roseobacteraceae. The record is from RNAcentral.